UAAAGUUAUUCUUUGAAUGUCUCUCUCUUUUAAACACAAAUCACUAACAACAUUGUGUAUGUAACUCUGGAAACUCACAGAAAAACUGAAAUAAUAAAGUUUUUCAUGUAUCUUCCUUCCGGUUUGUCAGAAGUAACACAACAAAGACCUUAGCUAAGUAAUUUGCGACAGUGUACAAACUUUAUCUUUAUGACGACCCUUUGUAACUCACUACCAAUUAAUGCGCCAUCGCUAGUGAGUAUCUCUAGAAUCGUACGCAAACUAAAAUAUGUCUAAACUAAAAUUAUAUACCAUUAGAUCUUAUCAUUAUUAAAAUACUGCCGCGAGAUAUUGCGUAAUAGCUUAAAUCUGAUCAUAACUAUAUGUAAUGAUUGCCUUCUUCAGAUUGCUCUCCUAGGAAAAUAUUAACCGAAAUCGUCUGAUUUGAUAUUAGAUUAUGAGGUUGAGUGCUAAAGGCAACAUAAUAAGCGCUAAUUAUCUAAUAAUAUUAAUGGAAAAUGGUUUUUCUUAUUAUAAUAAUAAAAAUAUCGGUAAUUUCUUAUAAUAUACAUGCACAUAAUAUGCACCAAAAUUCAUAAUAAACGAAUAGGAUUAAAAUCAUUGCAUAAUAUGUUUGUUUUUUAUAUGUUUUUAUUGUUAAAAAGAAAAUUUAUUGUUAAAAAGGAAAUUAAAUGAAUACUCUCUUGCCAAAGAAGGCCAUUAAAAUUGGAAUUAUACCAUUAAAAUUGGAAUUAUACUAAUCAAUUGCAGAUAUCAAAUAUCAACAGAAAUGUAAUUACAAUUCAAAGAAAAGGAGUCUAAACUAUUGGUAAAUAGAACCCUUGAAAUCGGGUUUACGUCAUACAAAUUAAUGAAAAUAAAUUUUCGAUGCGACUCGGAAAUCUAUUAUUACCGCAAUUAAAAAUUCCACUUUCCGUACUAUUGGUAAUUAAUCGAGUUCUGUACCAUCGAAAAUCAAUAUCUGUCAUUCAUGUCAAGAUCUAAGACCUAAUAUCGCGUAUAAUCAAUAUUAUUCUAUGACAUUAAAAAUGACUGCUUACAAUUUUAUUGAAGAUCAAUAAUUUCUCUUAUUUUCAAUUCCACAGUUUUGAGAAUAUUCAUAAGUAUUACUUAAACACACACAUAAUUAUAAAAAUAUUUUCAGUUUGUUUAAUAAAUAUCUAUGUGUAGUUUAAUUAUUAUUAUUAAUAUUGUUUAAUAAAUAUCUAUGUAUAGUAAAUAUAAAUAUAAUGGUAGAGAUAUCUUUAAUAACAUUAAACAAAUAGAUAGUAAAGAACAAUAACCAAAUUUAUUAAAGAGAGAGAGAGAGAGAGAAAGAAAGAGAUAGAAAUAUCGUCGAGAUGGAUUUAUAAUUAUUUCUUAUUUGUAAAAUCUUGUAAAAAUUUAUAAAGUCGUACAACACUCACACAUAAAGCUGAGUAGUAAUAAAUUUAUAAAAUCUAUAAAAGAAAAAGACUGAGAAAAAAUAUGGAAGUCAUAAAUAAGAGUCGAUAAAACUCAUUUCCUUACUCUACGCGCAAUAGCAUAGCAUAACUAUUCCACUCAGAGGUGACGACGUGAACAGGAAGUAUAGUAAUUUGAAUUCCUUCACAUUCUUUCUCUCUAUGUGAAAUGCCUUCGAAGCGUGCAUAAAAGUAACGCAAAUUCGCACGAUUUUGAUUCUUGUGAUUGACAGGUCAAUUUCACUUUAAAAAAUUUUUUUGUUUCCAAUAAGAAAUCUUAUUUCUAGAGAUCGAUUCAUAUGUUACAUACGUUACGGACAGUAUCCGUUAAUCUUAGCAAAUAAUCGAAACCGUGUCACGGAAAUAGGAUUGAUACUACCUUGAAGUGACAGCCCGCAGAUAUAUCUGGAAUAACGAUCGAUUGCAUGCCGUAUAAUCUAGAACGAAAAUUGUAAAAGCGAAUGUUUAUAUAAUUAACUCAGGUAGCAAGCACAUACAAUUUUGAUGUGCACUUUCUACUUGGAAGAGAAGUAACUUUACGAUAAAAAAUACAAAAUUUCUUACGUAAGACUGUGCUAUAACAAAUCCCCGAGAUGGUCGAUUUCAAGUUUUAAUUUGAAAUAAUUGUAAUAAAUAUUGUGUUCUACAUGAAAUUUAGAAAUUUAAAAACGAUACGAGUGUACACCAACACAAAGAUGCACUAGAUAUUUGCUAUCUCAAUUAACAAAAAAAAAAUGACGAGAAUAGAAGAUCGCAAAAAAAUUUAAUAAUGUUUUCGAUUGAACGGAUUUUGAUCGACGCAAGGUUAAUUAAUCAUUGCAUCGUUUCUGCGUCAAUAAUAGACUUGAAUUUAUAGUAUAACAGUGAUUAAUUGAUCCGGGAUGGAUCAAAAUCCGUUCACUCGAAAAUGCUAUAUAUGUGUUGAGAAGACACUUACCCUUUUAUACUUAUCAACACGAUUAUUAAUAAAACCCUUCUCAUUUUGAUGUAUAACGAUACAAUAUAGUGCUUUAGUAAAGUGAAAAUAAUGACUGUGUAAUAAAAUUACUACUGACCUGACUCGUGAACUUGCGAAAAUCUAAUUUAUAUCAGAGAGAAACCCGGAGAGCGCGGCUGCCGUUAUUGUUACAAUUUUAAAUUUUUCGUAUGGCAGCGCCAUCACAAUUGCUUUUGCUGGGAGCUGGAAUUAUUUUUAAAAUGACGAUUUUACCGGCAGUAUAUCGAUAAGCUGUGAUGUAUGAUGGCGCUGCUGUGCGAGAGAAUUGUCAUAUGGUUAUAUCGAAAAUGUCAGAGCAUGAUUACUUUGGUUUCAACUUAUCAAAAUAACUUUAUAAGAAAUAGAUGCGUCAUAUGAAAUAUUUAUUAUAAAACUCUCGUGCUCUGAAAUAAAAUAAAAAAAAAAAAUGGAAAAAAGUAUUAGUAAGAUACUUGAUAUAUCUUGGAGAUUCGGAGUAACUGCAGCAAGUAAUGAUUCCGACAAUGUUGCAAAGUCAUUUCUGCAACUUAAAUUACGUCUUGACAAUGAUGGUAAAAUCAAGAAUGUAUUUACUGAGAUGACAAUAGGGCAAUUUUAUAAAUUUCUACAUGAUUUACAAAAGGCAAAAUGUAAUCUUGAUUUGUUACUGUAAGCAAAUAUAUGUGUUAAAAUAA
This is a long non-coding RNA of Formica exsecta, 3092 nucleotides long. RefSeq lists it as uncharacterized. The record is from RefSeq and is a predicted model, not a curated record. The transcript is spliced from 3 exons. NCBI's taxonomy places the organism in Eukaryota, Metazoa, Arthropoda, Insecta, Hymenoptera, Formicidae.